RNAcentral lists this ribosomal RNA (378 nucleotides) under uncultured bacterium. RNAcentral's name for it is "bacterial SSU rRNA". It matches the Rfam family "Bacterial small subunit ribosomal RNA", at positions 790 to 1167 of the family's 1533-position model. The record is from RNAcentral.
GUAGUCCACGCUGUAAACGAUGAGUGCUAGAUAUCGGGAGUUUAUCUUUCGGUUUCGUAGUUAACACGUUAAGCACUCCGCCUGGGGAGUACGAUCGCAAGAUUAAAACUCAAAGGAAUUGACGGGGGCUCGCACAAGUGGUGGAGCAUGCGGUUUAAUUCGAUGCUACGCGAAAAACCUUACCAACCCUUGACAUGGUGAUCGUAGGUCGUAGAGAUGCGACCGUCAGUUAGGCUGGAUCACACACAGGUGUUGCAUGGCUGUCGUCAGCUCGUGUCGUGAGAUGUUGGGUUAAGUCCCGCAACGAGCGCAACCCCCAUCCUUAUUUGCCAGCGGUUCGGCCGGGGACUAUAAGGAAACUGCCGGUGAUAAACCGGA